Long non-coding RNA from Nannospalax galili (Upper Galilee mountains blind mole rat), 525 nucleotides. RefSeq lists it as uncharacterized. Lineage: Eukaryota; Metazoa; Chordata; Mammalia; Rodentia; Spalacidae. The record is from RefSeq and is a predicted model, not a curated record. The transcript is spliced from 5 exons.
AUGCAGAAAGAGGGUCCAGUUCGAUUCUCCUCAAGCAAAGAAGGGUAUGAGAACGUGUCCAGGACUGGGCUGGAGCUAGGCAACAGUUCUGAGCAUAGGGAGUAGUUUUGACAGAACUGCAUCCUCAUGCAAAUUGAUCCAGGUGAGGUGGUGGUGCACAUCAGUGACUCCAGCACUCUGGACGUGGACACCGGAGGUCAGGAGUUCAAGGUCAUCCUCAGCUACAUAGGGAAUUUAAGAACCCUGUGAAGUGGGGAAGCUGAGGCUGUGCAAUGUGGGGUCAUUCAUCGAAGAUCACCCAGGGAAUACACAACAGAGCUAGAAGCAACUUCUUCAUAGGAAAUGCGAGGGAGUGGAGAACAGCCAGCAAUGGGAAAGAGAUGCCUGAGCAACGGGAUGUUCUACGGCUGAGAUUCAAAACUGCACAUCUAAAGGGUCCUGGAAGAGCUACUGUGCGUGUCCGUGAAGCCCCUGAAAUUGUGUACAGAAUUUUAAGACCUGGGUUCGAAUCCCAGCACCCACAUG